Molecule: ribosomal RNA, 253 nt
Filed under: uncultured bacterium
Lineage: Bacteria
Description: partial 16S ribosomal RNA
Rfam family: Bacterial small subunit ribosomal RNA
Source: RNAcentral
UACGGAGGGGGUUAGCGUUGUUCGGAAUGACUGGGCGUAAAGCGCACGUAGGCGGCUUCUUAAGUCAGGGGUGAAAUCCUGGAGCUCAACUCCAGAACUGCCUUUGAUACUGAGAAGCUUGAGUCCGGGAGAGGUGAGUGGAACUGCGAGUGUAGAGGUGAAAUUCGUAGAUAUUCGCAAGAACACCAGUGGCGAAGGCGGCUCACUGGCCCGGUACUGACGCUGAGGUGCGAAAGCGUGGGGAGCAAACAGG